ACAGAGCCCAAGACCCUCAGUGAAAUACCCCAGAAACGGCAGGAAGCCAGAGCAGCUUGCCAAGGUCAAGAGUAAGAGACAAUGCAAGACAAUGCAGGAAGUGGAGCAACUAUGAUGCAAUAUGCUGGGAUAUAAAGCCGACCAGAAUGCGUCAAGAAAUCAAGAGCCACUUGCAAGCAUGACGUGUCUUGGACCGAUUGCAUUUGUUCUGUAUACUUCCGCUUAGACACAUUGUUUUUAUUGUCUACUUAUAGUAAUGAAGAGAAUAAAUACAUGUGCAGCCCAAUAAAAGAACUCCCUUAUUCAUCCUACAGUCUCUCAUUCAAACCGCUGCUAAGGUAACUCAACCCUAGCAACAUAAUAGCUGCUAAAUUCCACUCUGAAGGGCUGCUGAACAAAAAGCUAAAUAAUUCCAAAACACAAAAAAAUAAAAUAUGUAAUUGCAACUUGUCUUAGAAUAUGAAUGUCUGCAUCAUACUACAAAUUCAUUUAAAGCUAAACCACCCCUUUAAAAGUGGCAGACCCAAUAAUAACAGAAAUAAAGGCGAUGUUCAUCAACAUAAUCCAAACCCACAACAGAAAGGCUGAUUUUGAAAGCUGCAUUUUAUUGAAGGUACAAAAUGAGCAGUCAAAAAGUAUCACAUCUGCAUUGAACACUAUUGUAUAUAUAAAAAAAUAAUGAUUUAAAACUCUGGUGUAGACUCUGUUUGUUCCUUGAAAACACAGGACAAGUACAUAAAUAAAUCAAUCUGAAAAUGAGUAAAAAAAAAUAUAGACAAGAAUUCUUCCAUGCUUUGAAUUGUCACAUCCAUGUAAUAAAUGGGCUGCCGAGAAGCAAGUAAACAUCCUCAUCAUGCAAAGUAACAUCGGCCGGACCUGUCUGGGAGCGGAGAGGGACAGUACUGGGAUCCAUAUCCUUAUCUGUUUGCAUCAAACAUAGAAAGUUUGGGGAUAGUUUGGAAAAGAAACACUGUAUUGAGAAAAAUAGCAUUUUCUCAAAAGGCAAACACUUCCCAAGCUUAUUAUUGGGUGUAAGUAUUCAUUCCAGCAAAGAAAAAUAGAGGAGACCUUAUGACCUUUAGAAGGUAAUUUGGUGGCACUUUGUGGCUAAACCAGUAUAACAGUGUCCAUGGAUAAACCACGGGGCACUCACAUACAAUCUGCUCUUUCCUCUCAGCAUGAACUUUUAGGGCAAUGGCACAUCUUUUUUCCACUUUGGAUGUUUUUUUGGCAAUAAUCAUAAAAAUCACCCACGCUGAAAUUUUCCAAUAAGUGGAUUGGUGGCGACUUCAGGAAUUUGUACACAACAUUUUUAGCAAAGAAAAAAUACAGCAGGCAAAAUGUUCACAUCACUCUGUCUGCUGUAACAAUUAGGGGGGUAUCAAAGGGGGAAAAGUGCUUCAUUUACAAGAUUAUGACAGUAGACCGCCAUAACUCACUUGGAUAAGAAAUGACUAUACAUGGUGCAUUCCAGGCAACUACCAUGUGUCUCUUCCUACUUGCCUGUUCUGUCCGUGCUCUAUGAGCAUGAAGAACAAACUAGUCUCUAUACCAUAUCCAUAAACUGUAGGGUAAAAUGUGAAUGAUGCCAGCAGUUACAGGUAGCAGUUAAUAUGAGCAACAUUGUACACUAAUAAUAAGCAUUCUUUUUGAUAUUUAGAUUUCACAUAUCUG
Long non-coding RNA from Xenopus tropicalis (tropical clawed frog), 1674 nucleotides. RefSeq lists it as uncharacterized. The record is from RefSeq and is a predicted model, not a curated record. Lineage: Eukaryota; Metazoa; Chordata; Amphibia; Anura; Pipidae. The transcript has 3 exons.